AGAAAAGACUUCAGGAAGUGCACUGCCAACAGUCAUUAUAGAAGGAGACUCUUCUUCCAAAAAAUGACAUUUCUCCUCCUACUACAAUUUCUCUCUAGCUUCCAGCAUGGCAGGAAGCCUCCAAGUCAAGGCCUGCAGGGUUUCCCAUAACCCACUGGUUGAGGAAGAGAAUGGAGCCUUGAUGAGAAACAAAUCAGAAUGUGAUGCUGGAACUAGGCAGAAGUGAACGUUACUACAUCACAUUCCCCAGAGGUUUCAGUCCAUGGCUGGCUGGCUCCAAGGAAGAAACAUCCUUGAAAAAGGGCAUGGUGACAGAAAGCCCCUCAACUCCUGAUGUCUGAGAAGUAGAGAAGAAGAGCAGGAAAGGAAGAGGCCAGAGACCAGGAAUCCAUUACAAAGGUUCAUAGCUGAUUUCAGCGCUAUCUGGAGCUCUCAGAACCUCAGCCCCAGGCCCUCUAACAGUGACCUUGUCAUACUUCAGAUGCAUCUCUGUAUGGGCUGCUUUCCAACAGCACAGAAGAAGAAAUGAAAGUAAAAGAACAAAAAGAAAAAAAUGGACUGCCACCACUUGCUUAGAAAUUGGAAGGCAAAGUACCUCUGGGCUAAUAAACCUAACCUUUGACCUUGCUGUGGCUGCUUAUGUCCUUACUAGAACGAGAAGUUGGAUACCCCUCUUACUUUUCUUUUGGAAAGUUGGUCCUCUACACUGAUUUGCAGAAGCAAAUUUUGUCUCACAGUUUUGUGCCUUACAGUUUUUCCUCACAUGAGGGGCCCUUUGUAGCAGUGUGCAACUAUGGUGGCACAGAAGAUAAAAAUUUGUG
Molecule: long non-coding RNA, 821 nt
Organism: Heterocephalus glaber (naked mole-rat)
Lineage: Eukaryota; Metazoa; Chordata; Mammalia; Rodentia; Bathyergidae
Source: Ensembl